GUGCAAGAGAAGAUUUGGAGAGGUGAGUAUGUGGAUCUGCUGUCUUUGGUCUCUCCCGACAAGGAUUCAGUGGACAGACCACGCCGUGGGGAGGUACCCGAGGCGGAAAAAGGUAAGCAGAUACCCAGAACCUUUGGUAAUUGGUUGCAGGGGUUUAACAUAUUUGCCAGUAUCCUUGUGCGCCGGUUCCCAGAUAAGGCUCCGGCCCUGUUCGGGUACUUAGAUCUGAUUUGGGGGGCCUACAAAAUUUAUGGCGGGCAAUGCUGGUAUUGCUAUGACCAGCAAUUCCGACAAAAGAUGGCGGUGUGCCCGGGUAUGGAUUUCGCCGUGCAGGAUGGCAGUCUCUGGCUGUUACUUAUGACUCCCAGUAGACCAUCCCCCUUUCCCGGGCCUGCCGGAGGUAACUCCGGCUCCUCCGCAGGGCAGAGAAAAGGUGUGUGUUGGCUCUUUAAUGAGAGCCACUGCCGCUGGUACAGCUCCUGCAGGUUCCGCCAUGAAUGUGCACCCUGCGGGGGAGCCCACCCCGCUGUGCGCUGCUUCCGAAAGGGGAAGCCAGUUUCGGGAAAGGGUCCCUCUCGAGAUGACAUACCUAGGGGAGAGGACGCCGGUGGACGCCCUAAGGAUGCUCCCGUGGCUCGCCCGGUAUCAUAGGGGUCGCGAUGCACAGACAUUGUUUGAUGGUUUUCAGGUAGGUUUCUGGAUCCCCUUUGUUCCCUCUUCUUUCCCUCAGUUCGCGG
Molecule: non-coding RNA, 737 nt
Organism: Pelobates cultripes (western spadefoot toad)
Lineage: Eukaryota; Metazoa; Chordata; Amphibia; Anura; Pelobatidae
Source: the annotation of a GenBank genome assembly